This 536-nucleotide ribosomal RNA is filed under the name uncultured bacterium DGGE band 5. RNAcentral describes it as "bacterial SSU rRNA". It matches the Rfam family "Bacterial small subunit ribosomal RNA", at positions 355 to 909 of the family's 1533-position model. The record is from RNAcentral.
UGGGGANUAUUGCACAAUGGGGGAAACCCUGAUGCAGCGACGCCGCGUGGAGGAUGACGGCCUUCGGGUUGUAAACUCCUUUUGUCAGGGACAAUGGUGAUGGUACCUGACGAAUAAGCCACGGCUAACUCUGUGCCAGCAGCCGCGGUAAGACAGAGGUGGCGAGCGUUGUUCGGAAUUACUGGGCUUAAAGGGCGCGUAGGCGGUGGUGUAAGUCUGGGGUGGAAUGCUACAGCUCAACUGUAGAGCUGCCUUGGAAACUGCAUUACUUGAGUCGGUGAGGGGAAGGCGGAAUUCCUGGUGUAGCGGUGAAAUGCGUAGAUAUCAGGAGGAAGGUCUGUGGCGAAGGCGGCCUUCUGGCACUUGACUGACGCUGAGGCGCGAAAGCGUGGGGAGCAAACAGGAUUAGAUACCCUGGUAGUCCACGCCCUAAACGGUGGGUAUUAGGUGUGGGGCCUUCAUGGGUUCCGUGCCGUAGCGAAAGCAUUAAAUACCCCGCCUGGGGAGUACGGCCGCAAGGUUGAAACUCAAAGGAA